This is a long non-coding RNA of Tripterygium wilfordii, 1119 nucleotides long. RefSeq lists it as uncharacterized. The transcript has 4 exons. The record is from RefSeq and is a predicted model, not a curated record. Lineage: Eukaryota; Viridiplantae; Streptophyta; Magnoliopsida; Celastrales; Celastraceae.
GCAAUAUGGACAUCUAUGAAAGCUGCAUUGAUCGGGCAAUCGGUUAGGGGCUCCAAUGGCGCUGUAAAUUGACCCAACGCGUAUUCGCCGCUGUCAAAGUAGGUUUCAUCGUACCAUCCCUCACUAGGAUCCAUGUAAGAUUUGAGGCUGAGUUGCAGACUUGGAAGAGAAUAUAAAUGAUUCAUUGCCACUAAUUCCUGGAUAUAUAGCUCAAUGCGUAUUCGCAUUGGAAGUUAUUGGAGACAGGAUUGAACCCCAAGAAAGUGGUUGGGAAGCUCACAGAGUGUACUUGGUGAAGGUAGAUCUUUCGCUAGAAGUGAACCUACAAUCAAUCCCGGCUCGCAAGAACCAUGAAAGCAUCAUAGAAAACAAUUCACGGGUCUCUGAAUCUCUAUUUUGGUGGAAUUCAUCAAAGACAAAUGGAGAUGAAUUACAAUGGACAGAAUGUGUACUAAACAAACCGCCUGGCUAUGGUCAGGUUGCAAGUACAGUUAGGCCGGUUGUCUUUGUUGGUUAUCACUUUAAGCACAGGAUUGAACUCGAAGAAAUUGGUCGGUCGAAGCUCAAAUCCGCCCCUCAAUGUCGGCAUUACUGGAAAAUCUUCCUGUGAAGGUACAUGAUGAAACCCCACUAUGUACCACAACACUAUGUCCUUAUUUUCGAUCUCCCUAUUCCUGCACAAAUCACAAUAUGGGCAUUGAUUUAUACUUGAACCAAGUAAGAUUGAUCAAGAUAUGGUGCGUACCUGAGGGUCCAAGUGCCUAACGUAUCAUCUCCUCUGCUUUGAUCAACAUACUGUUCUCCCUCCCAUUUUUCAGACUUGUUAUAUGGAGUAACCCACACAUUGUAAUCAGUAAAGGCAGCUCACAUUUGCGGGUAAUCGUCUUUCGCUAGUAAUGGACCUGCAGUUGAUCCUGGUAUCAAGCGAUAACCAACAUUGUUUCCAGGUUUAGUGUAUUUAUUUGGGUUCACCACUGCCACCUCCAUUGGCUUUGAGCCCAACUUAAUUCUUGCAUCUAGUUCAGUCUUUGCUGUUUCUUUCUCAACUGCCCAGUAACUCUUCCCUGGUACGCUCUUGUCUGUCACUCUCCUGGUCACAAAAUUGGUCUUGAUGAAGGA